Acanthosepion pharaonis is the source of this 112-nucleotide non-coding RNA. Lineage: Eukaryota; Metazoa; Mollusca; Cephalopoda; Sepiida; Sepiidae. The record is from the annotation of a GenBank genome assembly.
UUACGGCCAUAGGAUGUUCAAACACCGAUUCCCGUACAAUCACCGAAGUUAAGUAACCUCAAGAUUAGUCAGUACUUUUAUGGUUGAGCGCUUGGGAAUACCAGAUGCAGUA